CUGUUCCCAAAGCUAUUUAAAUUGUACUUUAAAUAUGACUAACACAGCUUUAAGGACAAAAAAUAUAGAUUUAAAAAGUUGUUCCCAAAGCUACUCAAAUUAUACUUUAAAUAUAUAAUAUAUAUUUUAUUUUAUUUAACAGGGAUAAUUAUGUAAUUUUACCAUUAAAUUUGGAGAUUUGUAGAGGAUGAACAAGGGCAGAUGGGUAAUUUGGCUGUACUUUUUAGAUCUGUACAUUUAAUGUCUAUCUACUAUACUUCUUUCCUUGUUUACUUCUCCUCCACAUUUGCUUCUACAUUGAUUUCUCCUCCACAAUUCCUCUCCAUUAAUCUCCAUUUUUGCUCAAAUUUCGCUUCAAUGUUGCUGUCCAGAUAAUACAAAUUAGAGGUUUUAUCGCAUAGUGGUCAGAAAUUACAGAGAAGAAGAGUUGUAGAAUACAACUGAGGAAUGGAAGAAAAUAGAGAUAAUGUGUCUGCCCAAGAAAGAACUUCUGAAAGAAAUAUGCGUCAUCGUACCAAAUAUGCACAGAUGUCACUGGAGAGAAAGCAAUUAUUUUUAUCCGAGCUAAGAGAAAAAAGGGCCGAGUCAAAAAGACAAAAACACCUUCAUCAAUCAAAUACUACUGCCGCUCUUACAAUCAGUAGUUCUUCACUAUCGCCUCAGGAAGGUUAGCUGAGCAUAUUCUUAUCUUCCUUCUAUCUUCUCAAUAUCUACAACUAUAGUUAGACGCUACUACUCCUACUAUAGCUAUUUUCCUCAUUUUGUAGUUGCAGCUUCUAAAGCCACAAACCUACUAGUUACGUUAACUACAGGACAUCAUCAAUCAAAUAGUACUGGCGCCCUUACAAUCAACACUUCUUCGUUAUCUCCUCAACAAUGUUAGCUUACCAUAUUUUAGUUGAAGCUUUCGAAGUUAUAAACCUACCAGUUAAUUUAACUACAGGAGAACAUCAAUUAAAUAGUACUGGCUCCCUUACAAUCAGCACUUCUUUGUUAUUUCCUCAAGAAGGUUAGCUAAUCAUAUUGUUACCUUCCUUUCCUUCAAUCUGUCUUCUCAAUAUCUACAACUAUAGUUAGCUGCUUCAUCCAAAAUUGAAAUGCAACAUAGUUAUAUUCUUCAUUAUCUUGAAUAACACACAAAAUGAUUUCUCGGGGAAAAACAGAUUAUGAAGUCUUAUUUAGCCUUUUCUUAAAACACAACACAAGUUAAAAUUUUAGGUCAGAGAAAAGGUAGAUAUAAAGACACUGAUAACCAUAAUCUGGUGUAGAAAUCAAAAGGCUAAUACAUGACAGAAUAUUCAUGCCAUAUACCAUAUAUGUGAUAGCAUUUAGCAAUGGAAUAAAAAGAUUCACUUAAAAAGAAUUGAUCUUGCGUGUGAUGGGAGUUAAUGAGAAGGAAAGACUUAGUAGAGGGCUAAAUGACAAAUUCUGAACUUCAUAUCUAACAUCUCGUCAAACUGAACAAAUAAACCUCAUGUAUCAUUGACAACAAAUUAUCAUGUGAUGCAUCACGCAAUUCGAUUUCAAGUACUGAGGUCAUUAGGGAAAAAGUUUGGUUAUCAAUAGUAUUAUAGAGAAUAUUCAAUAAUCUAAUAUAGGCUCUACAGAGAUGAACCAAUGUAUAGUGUUAUAGAGAUUAUUUAAUUCAUUCAAUAAUAUAAUCAUAGUGUCUAAAUUUCUAUAGAGAAGAACUAAGUUGAAUGAUGAUAUUAUUGGAUAUCAUUUGAAGAACUAACUAAUUAAUCUAUAAUUCAUGUAUUGUAUAAUACAAAUACAUUUAUGCUCAAAACGCUCAUUUGAAACAUGAAUUUUCAUCUUCAACUCAGAAGCUUUUAAGAUUGAAUUCUGUGAGUUUUUUCACCUUCUUUUCUGCGUCUCUGUUUUUUUUUCCAUUGUAUUUUUAUUGAUAAUGAAGAUACUCAGUUUUGGAAAUGGAAAUAGGGUGAAUCGGUAAUGAAAUUUGUGUAACAAAAUAUUUAAAUACUUUUUUAGGAUGGAUGGAUUCUUUGAUGAUGAAUUUAGUGUUAAGUUUUUUACAUGCAUGCCAAUAUUAUGUGAGGUUUUCCUUUAAUGUACCGAGAGUGUUUGAUCAAAGUUGUAAGUUGUGAAAAGGAAUAAGAAAAUUUUGCAACUGCAAGUCUUAUUUUUGCCCUUCUUUUUUCUAACUUCAAUAGCUACAUGUUACUGGCCUCACUAACAAUCAUUGUUGUUUAAUUACUCUGUAUACUAAAUUGGAUGGUUUCCUACAUGAUGAACAAGUUCUACAGGGUCCAAAUAUUGUAGCGAUCAUACUCAGAUUGUAUUGUUAAGGUGUUCAAAAGUUGUCGUGUCAAAUCAUAUGAAUGGAUGAAGCUGAGAUAAAAGGGGUUCUUUUGGGUCUCAAUGGCUUUACAUUGGUGAAUUGAUGUAUGGUUCUGAGAAAUGGGUCGACCGGAGAGAUGAAGAUUGGAUAGCUUGCAUGGUUACCGGCGGAGAAGGAAAGAUGUAGUUGGUGGAGUUUCGAUGACAACAAUGUGGAUGCAUGGGAAAGGCUUAAAACUACUGACAAAUGUUCUAUGAAAUCACAAUAUAUAUAUAUAUAUCUCCCUUAUUUAGAAGAGGGAGUAUAAAAUUGUCUGAUUUUCAUCACAUUAACACUUUUAAGUGUAAAAAUUGAAACUUUUGGAACUCAAACAAAGAAAUAGCAAAUCCAGAUGUUAAAAUUCUCUGA
This is a non-coding RNA of Solanum lycopersicum (tomato), 2710 nucleotides long. The record is from RefSeq and is a predicted model, not a curated record. NCBI's taxonomy places the organism in Eukaryota, Viridiplantae, Streptophyta, Magnoliopsida, Solanales, Solanaceae.